RNAcentral lists this long non-coding RNA (1084 nucleotides) under Calidris pugnax (ruff). RNAcentral describes it as "lncRNA (ENSCPUG00000002013.1)". The record is from RNAcentral. Lineage: Eukaryota; Metazoa; Chordata; Aves; Charadriiformes; Scolopacidae.
UCAUCUGUGUAUGAUGUAGAACUGGACAUACUAAACCCAGCUCAGCCCAAUGGCUUUAUGGAAGGACACCUCAAGUUUCUUGUACCAGGUCUUGUUGUGACUGCUUUAGGGACACAGGGCGCAGACCCUGUGCUUGUGCUUGUAGAUGGUUUGGGUCUUUCUUGGCUUACUGGUUCUGGCCCAGAUGUAUCCAAGAUGACUCCACACUGUCCAGGAGCCAUGGUAGUUUGGGCACAGCACAAAUAGAUGACCCACAUUUGCAUCUGAUGCUGUAUAUGACAAGUGAACCCCUAUGGAGCUGAAGGCUGCAGCUCUGCAGCAACCAGUCUGGGAAUAGGACUGAGCUGCAGGUACUUAAACUUGAGCUUUUUGCAGAAACUUUAAGGUUCCCUUCCCUGAGUUCCUCAAUCCUGUCCUGCCAGAGACAUCCCGGUACCUGGGUACUGCAACCUGGCUGCAAACUUAAAAGCUAAAAUGACCAAAUCAAAGCUAAACAUGUAUUGGUAACUUCUUAAUGUUUUAUCAUAAUCAAUUGUGAUUUUCUUGCAAAAUUUUUCAGUGUUGUGGAAUCAGCGUUCACUAUAAGGAGACUGAUGCUUCGGAAAAAAUUCAAGCAGCUCUGAUUAUUUUUUUUUCCCCACAAACUCUUGUCUGGCAUGGGAGGACUUGGAACAGAGCGAUACUGGCUCCGGCGACAACAGGAAACCGCGUUUUGGAUAACCCAUCACAGUGCAAGCUUUCCAGCCGUUUAAGGGCUUUUCUGUGGGGGGUGGGAAGGAAAGGCUGUCCAUCAUCCAAAGUCCCAUUGCAGUCAGUGGGAACAGCGCCUGUGACCGCAAAGGUCUUUGGCAAAGACCACGAGCAUCUGAAGGCUGCCUCUGAGAAACGGGCAUGGGCUCGCAGCUCCCCAUGGGGGUGCAGCCCAGAAGUGGCUUCAGGAAGAGAGAGUGCUCUUUUACUGGUCAUCUCAGUGCAUCAUUCAUUAAAUAUAAGGCCCUACAGGAAAACCAGGGCUUCGUGUUCUCCGUGCCCCUCCUGCAUCAGCCCUGACGUCAGUCGUUUCAAACCAUGGAAGUUAAAUUGA